UGACUGUGUGUGUGUGUGUAUGUAUAAAAUUCAUCAUAUAGAAAUUUAAUUAUCUAGCAUAUCUCAGAUAUAUUUUGGGGGGACAUAGUUGGUUUAACCAAAAGAGGUCAAUUUGUAAAAUCAGAAUGACCAUUAUUUUAGAAGGUGGAGUCAAACUGCCAAAUAAACUGGGUAUUUAUUUGCAUUCUCUGUGGACAGAUCUUAGGGAGAGCAAAUGAUAAGCGAAGUAGCAUGGGGAGCAGCAACUAGAGUGAACAGAGGGAGCUGGAGAAUCCCAGUGGCUGAUAUUAUCAAGCCAUGAUCACCGGAGGCAUAUAUCUCCACACAAGUGACUCGACAUGCACCUGCUACUUGAAGAGGAUUCUGUUGCUCUGCUAAGCAGCGUAGGUACCCAGUUUGCAACCACGGUAUUAGGGCGCCUCUGUAGGAUCACUCACUCUCCUGAGCCACUGCCCUUGUUGGGUCGUUCUCUCUGUUCCUAGUAUUCAGGUCCAAGGCCUGAACAGGGUAUCUAUCGCCUGUUGACCUCCUGUGUGCAUUGGCCCCAGCUACCCAAGAGGUGGUUACCCCCAUGCAAUAGAAUGAAUUUGCUGCAAAGAAGGCAACUCGGCCCAAGCCUUGGGGAAAACCCACGGCAGAAAAGUGAGAGGACGAGAAGAAGCCUCUUCAGAAUGGGGUUCCUAUUUGCUCCUUUCUUUCUUUAAAAAAAUUUUUUUUUCUUUUUUUCUUUAACAAGGUUUCCCACUUUCAGGGCUGACAAUCCGCUUCCGAAGCAGAGCCCCUGAAGUCAAGUCCCGAGCAGACGUGCCCGCGCGCCCUGGCUGAGUCUGUGAGAACCUCGCACACACUCCCAUUGUGACACGGGCGCGACCUCGACCGUCCCCCCCGCGGAAGCUGGGCAUAGACUCAAACCCAAAGUAUUCUCGGUCCACGUUUACAGAUGUUAGCCCGUGUUCCAUUUUUAACUGUGACGUAGGCACGUGCACUGGUUGCCCAGGAGACACGAAUCUGGGCAAACGCGGCAGAAAAGUGCCGGAGGAAGGGCAGAUGUGUUUCCCGGAGGUCCUGCUCACGCACAGCCUCCGAGCUCCCCGUCAGUGCCCUCCCCCAGCCGCAGAGCCCCAGGUACAACUCAAAAUGUAAGUAGAAUAUAAGUUCUGUGAUGAAAAUAAGUGUUAACACGAAGUGCUGUGAGUCAAAGGCAGGAUGUGAGUAUUUAGCUUCAAACUGAAUUCAAGCUUUCCUUACCUCUUUCCACUCCAGUAUCACUGAAAUUAAAACAUAUUAUCCUUCAAUUUGCAGAUAUCUGAGCAAACUUCCUUAUAAGAUUCUAAUGUUUAAACCAAAAAUGGAGUUUUGGAGCCCAUAAAGCUGAGAGCUACCCUGUGGACCUUGGAGAGCCACUCUAUAAAGCUCUGUUUGAAUGGUCUGUUGAUCUCUCCUGGACAUCUCUAUUUUAUUCUCUCUCUAAACUCAACACUGUCUUUAUUAUCUUUAUUGCAAAUCUGAACUGUGCUGCUGUGCCAAGACCCUGUCAAGUUAUACUCUAGAUUGACUUUUCUUAGUCUGCUUGUAUAAACUUUGAAAAAUGGAGAACAAAAUCUUCCUCUCACUUUUCCUUGUUGUUUCGUUCCUUAUAGGAUAGAUAAAUUACAGUGUUACACACAUUGAAGAUUCUUGAUAAGCUGAGCUAUAGGAAAAUAAUUUUUGGUAUCAUUCCCAGAAUCAGCAACAACAAAAAUUUACUUUUACAUAUGACUGGUACAAAUGGUCAUAGUGGAAUGCAUAAAGAGGCUUCAGGGAAUGGGAAGAGAGAUCCUGUGAACAAUUCUCCAACCUAGAGGAUACGAAUGUUGUAUGUGCAUUGCUCUGGAAAAAGGGUCGCUAGCAAUUAAAUAGUUAAACCUUGAGUGAACACAGGCAGCAGCUGGAAGAAGUGUUUAUAGUACAAGGCAGGAAGCCCGAGAGUCAGUGACUUCUGCUGGCAGGAAAGAGUAGAAGGCGGAGGGAGAGCAGAGCAGGGCAUCAGAUUUUUAGUUGUUCUCGGCCUGGAAGACUUUCUUUCAAAAUUUGAAGCCAGAUAUGGGCCAGAAAACUUCUCCUAUUGUUGCACAAAGGAUGAAAAGGUGCUGAGUGCACAUGGAAUGAAGCCAAAGUCGGGAGAUACAGGCAUUGUGACUAGAAUACAUUUGGAACUUCCACCCUUUGAAUGAAACUACAUGAGAGUAAGAACUGAGAUGCUUAGACAUCUAGGAAUACUGUUGAGAAAGCCUCCUUAAAUAAUGAACACCUAACAUUUAUCGACCCAUUUUAACACACCAAGAACACCUAACAUUCAUCUACCCAUUUUAACAUACCAAGAAUUAUGUUGUUUAAUAUUUGUUGUCCCAUUUAAAUCUCGAGAACCCAAUGAGGAAAGUCCCUGUUUUAGAAAUUAUUCCUUAUUUUAUAAAUGAGUAAACUGAGGCUUCAUAGGUUAAAUCAUUUGCUAAAAGUAUAAAUUUAAAGUUUGACCCUGUCACAGUACA
This 2528-nucleotide long non-coding RNA is filed under the name Canis lupus familiaris (dog). Its description in RNAcentral is "lncRNA (ENSCAFG00845016159.1)". Lineage: Eukaryota; Metazoa; Chordata; Mammalia; Carnivora; Canidae. The record is from RNAcentral.